This 481-nucleotide ribosomal RNA is filed under the name uncultured bacterium. RNAcentral's name for it is "partial 16S ribosomal RNA". It matches the Rfam family "Bacterial small subunit ribosomal RNA", at positions 28 to 507 of the family's 1533-position model. The record is from RNAcentral.
GACGAACGCUGGCGGCGUGCUUAACACAUGCAAGUCGAACGGGAUCCGGGCUUUCGGGUUUGGUGAGAGUGGCGAACGGGUGAGUAACACGUGAGUAACCUGCCCCCUUCUUUGGGAUGACGUCGGGAAAUCGGCGCUAAUACUGGAUAUUCUUGCUGCAUCGCAUGGUGUGGUUUGGAAAGGGUUUCUGGUGGGGGAUGGGCUCGCGGCCUAUCAGCUUGUUGGUGGGGUGAUGGCCUACCAAGGCUUUGACGGGUAGCCGGCCUGAGAGGGUGUCCGGCCACACUGGGACUGAGACACGGCCCAGACUCCUACGGGAGGCAGCAGUGGGGGAUAUUGCACAGUGGGCGCAAGCCUGAUGCAGCGACGCCGCGUGAGGGAUGACGGCCUUCGGGUUGUAAACCUCUUUCAGUAUGGAACAAGGAUCCUUCUUUUGGGGGGUUUGAGGGUACGUGCAGAAGAAGCGCCGGCUAACUACGUG